Molecule: ribosomal RNA, 301 nt
Filed under: uncultured bacterium
Lineage: Bacteria
Description: partial 16S ribosomal RNA
Rfam family: Bacterial small subunit ribosomal RNA
Source: RNAcentral
CAGUCGCCGCGGUAAUACGAAGGGUGCAAGCGUUAAUCGGAAUUAUUGGGCGUAAAGCGUGCGUAGGCGGUUUGUUAAGUCUGCUGUGAAAUCCCCGGGCUCAACCUGGGAAUGGCAGUGGAUACUGGCAAGCUAGAGCGUGUCAGAGGAUGGUGGAAUUCCCGGUGUAGCGGUGAAAUGCGUAGAGAUCGGGAGGAACAUCAGUGGCGAAGGCGGCCAUCUGGGACAACACUGACGCUGAGGCACGAAAGCGUGGGGAGCAAACAGGAUUAGAUACCCCGGUAGUCCCUGUCUCUUAUAC